GAAUUGCUAGUAAUCGUAGGUCAGCAUACUACGGUGAAUACGUUCCCGGGCCUUGUACACACCGCCGUCAAACCAUGAGAGUUGGCAACACCCGAAGUCGGUAGUCUAACCGCAAGGAGGACGCCGCCGAAGGUGGGGUUGAUGAUUAGGGUUAAGUCGUAACAAGGUAAC
Molecule: ribosomal RNA, 171 nt
Filed under: uncultured bacterium
Lineage: Bacteria
Description: partial 16S ribosomal RNA
Rfam family: Bacterial small subunit ribosomal RNA
Source: RNAcentral